UUACGGCCACAACACGUUGAAACACCGAUUCCCGUAGGAUCAUUGAAGUUAAGCACCGUUCAGCCUGGUCAGUACCUAGAUGGGUGAUUGUGAAUACCAGGUGCCGUAAG
This is a non-coding RNA of Acanthosepion pharaonis, 110 nucleotides long. The record is from the annotation of a GenBank genome assembly. NCBI's taxonomy places the organism in Eukaryota, Metazoa, Mollusca, Cephalopoda, Sepiida, Sepiidae.